GGCGAGUGGCGAACGGGUGAGUAAUACAUCGGAACGUGUCCUGGAGUGGGGGAUAGCCCGGCGAAAGCCGGAUUAAUACCGCAUACGCUCUGUGGAGGAAAGCGGGGGAUCUUUCGGGACCUCGCGCUCAAGGGGCGGCCGAUGGCAGAUUAGGUAGUUGGUGGGGUAAAGGCCUACCAAGCCGACGAUCUGUAGCUGGUCUGAGAGGACGACCAGCCACACUGGGACUGAGACACGGCCCAGACUCCUACGGGAGGCAGCAGUGGGGAAUUUUGGACAAUGGGCGCAAGCCUGAUCCAGCAAUGCCGCGUGUGUGAAGAAGGCCUUCGGGUUGUAAAGCACUUUUGUCCGGAAAGAAAACCUCUGGGUUAAUACCCUGGGGGGAUGACGGUACCGGAAGAAUAAGCACCGGCUAACUACGUGCCAGCAGCCGCGGUAAUACGUAGGGUGCGAGCGUUAAUCGGAAUUACUGGGCGUAAAGCGUGCGCAGGCGGUGAUGUAAGACCGAUGUGAAAUCCCCGGGCUUAACCUGGGAACUGCAUUGGUGACUGCAUCGCUCGAGUAUGGCAGAGGGGGGUAGAAUUCACGUGUAGCAGUGAAAUGCGUAGAGAUGUGGAGGAAUACCGAUGGCGAAGGCAGCCCCCCUGGGUCAUACUGACGCUCAUGCACGAAAGCGUGGGGAGCAAACAGGAUU
RNAcentral lists this ribosomal RNA (694 nucleotides) under Burkholderia sp. Mi94. RNAcentral describes it as "bacterial SSU rRNA". It matches the Rfam family "Bacterial small subunit ribosomal RNA", at positions 90 to 779 of the family's 1533-position model. Lineage: Bacteria; Pseudomonadati; Pseudomonadota; Betaproteobacteria; Burkholderiales; Burkholderiaceae. The record is from RNAcentral.